RNAcentral lists this ribosomal RNA (207 nucleotides) under uncultured bacterium. RNAcentral's name for it is "partial 16S ribosomal RNA". It matches the Rfam family "Bacterial small subunit ribosomal RNA", at positions 524 to 730 of the family's 1533-position model. The record is from RNAcentral.
GACAGAGGGUGCAAACGUUGUUCGGAAUUACUGGGCGUAAAGCGAGUGUAGGUGGUUCUCAAAGUCAGAUGUGAAAGCCCCGGGCUCAACCUGGGAAUUGCAUUUGAGACUGCAUUGCUUGGGUGCGGAAGAGGGAAGCGGAAUUUCCGGUGUAGCGGUGAAAUGCGUAGAUAUCGGAAGGAACACCAGUGGCGAAAGCGGCUUCCU